This 301-nucleotide ribosomal RNA is filed under the name uncultured bacterium. RNAcentral's name for it is "partial 16S ribosomal RNA". It matches the Rfam family "Bacterial small subunit ribosomal RNA", at positions 509 to 807 of the family's 1533-position model. The record is from RNAcentral.
CAGUCGCCACGGUAAUACGGAGGGUGCAAGCGUUAAUCGGAAUUACUGGGCGUAAAGCGUGCGUAGGCGGUUCGUUAAGUCUGCUGUGAAAUCCCCGGGCUCAACCUGGGAAUGGCAGUGGAUACUGGCUCGCUAGAGUGUGUCAGAGGAUGGUGGAAUUCCCGGUGUAGCGGUGAAAUGCGUAGAGAUCGGGAGGAACAUCAGUGGCGAAGGCGGCCAUCUGGGACAACACUGACGCUGAGGCACGAAAGCGUGGGGAGCAAACAGGAUUAGAUACCCCCGUAGUCCCUGUCUCUUAUAC